RNAcentral lists this ribosomal RNA (759 nucleotides) under uncultured archaeon. Its description in RNAcentral is "bacterial SSU rRNA". It matches the Rfam family "Archaeal small subunit ribosomal RNA", at positions 102 to 859 of the family's 1478-position model. The record is from RNAcentral.
GGAUAACUUACCCUUAGGACUGGGAUAACUCUGGGAAACUGGGGAUAAUACUGGAUAUUAGGCUAUGCCUGGAAUGGUUUGCCUUUGAAAUGUUUUUUUUCGCCUAAGGAUGGGUCUGCGGCUGAUUAGGUCGUUGGUGGGGUAAUGGCCCACCAAGCCGAUGAUCGGUACGGGUUGUGAGAGCAAGGGCCCGGAGAUGGAACCUGAGACAAGGUCCCAGACCCUACGGGGUGCAGCAGGCGCGAAACCUCCGCAAUGUACGAAAGUGCGACGGGGGGAUCCCAAGUGUUAUGCUUUUUUGUAUGACUUUUCAUUAGUGUAAAAAGCUUUUAGAAUAAGAGCUGGGCAAGACCGGUGCCAGCCGCCGCGGUAACACCGGCAGCUCGAGUGGUAGCUGUUUUUAUUGGGCCUAAAGCGUUCGUAGCCGGUUUGAUAAGUCUUUGGUGAAAGCUUGUAGCUUAACUAUAAGAAUUGCUGGAGAUACUAUUAGACUUGAAGUCGGGAGAGGUUAGAGGUACUACCGGGGUAGGGGUGAAAUCCUAUAAUCCUGGGAGGACCACCUGUGGCGAAGGCGUCUAACUGGAACGAUCUUGACGGUGAGUAACGGAAGCCAGGGGCGCGAACCGGAUUAGAUACCCGGGUAGUCCUGGCCGUAAACGAUGUGGACUUGGUGUUGGAAUGGCUUUGAGUCGUUCCGGUGCCGAAGGGAAGCUGUUAAGUCCACCGCCUGGGAAGUACGGUCGCAAGACUGAAACUUAA